This 597-nucleotide ribosomal RNA is filed under the name uncultured bacterium. RNAcentral's name for it is "bacterial SSU rRNA". It matches the Rfam family "Bacterial small subunit ribosomal RNA", at positions 338 to 950 of the family's 1533-position model. The record is from RNAcentral.
CCUACGGGAGGCAGCAGUAAGGAAUCUUCCACAAUGGACGAAAGUCUGAUGGAGCAACGCCGCGUGCAGGAUGAAGGCUUUCGGGUCGUAAACUGCUUUUAUAUGGGAAGAUUAUGACGGUACCAUAUGAAUAAGGACCGGCUAACUACGUGCCAGCAGCCGCGGUAAUACGUAGGGUCCAAGCGAUAUCCGGAAUUACUGGGCGUAAAGCGUGUGUAGGUGGAUUAAUAAGUGUGAUGCGAAAUCCGGCGGCUCAACCGUUUGGACUGUGUCGCAUACUGUUAGUCUAGAGGACGGCAGAGGUAAGUGGAAUUACGGGUGUAGCAGUGAAAUGCGUAGAUAUCCGUAGGAACACCAAUGGCGAAGGCAGCUUACUGGGCCACACCUGACACUGAGACACGAAAGCGUGGGGAGCGAACAGGAUUAGAUACCCUGGUAGUCCACGCCGUAAACGAUGCAUACUAUUAGUAUGGGGUAUCGACCCCCUGUGCUGAGAAGCUAACGCGAUAAGUAUGCCGCCUGGGGAGUACGAGCGCAAGCUUAAAACUCAAAAUGAAUUGACGGNGNGAGACGNGCGAGACGACGACGAGGGAGAGG